ACUGGGUGUGGUGGUGCAUGCCUGUAAUCCCAGUGGCUUGGGAAGCUGAGGCAGGAGGAUGGCAAGUUCAAGGCCAGCCUCAGAAAGUUAAGGAGGACUUAUGCAACUUAGCAGGACCCUGUCUCAA
RNAcentral lists this small RNA (127 nucleotides) under Marmota monax (woodchuck). Lineage: Eukaryota; Metazoa; Chordata; Mammalia; Rodentia; Sciuridae. The record is from RNAcentral.